CCUUCAGAGGGGGAAACCGCUGGAAACGGGGGGUAAUACCCCGGACGCUCAUAGAACUUAGAGGCUCUUUGAGGAAAGGCGAGGCGUCGAAGGAGGGAGCUGCGGCCCAUCAGCUAGUUGGUAGGGUAACGGCCUACCUAGGCGAUGACGGGUAGGGGGCCUGAGAGGGUGACCCCCCACACUGGGAGUGAGACACCGCCCUGACUCCUACGGGAGGCACCAGUAAGGGAUAUUGCGACAAUGGGCGAAAGCCUGACGCAGCAACGCCGCGUGUGAGACGAAGGCCUUCGGGAUGCAAACCGCUUUUCUGUGGGAAGAAGAAGGACGGUACCACAAGAAUAAGUCUCGGCUAACUACUUGCCAGCGGCCGCCGUUAAACGUACGAGGCGAGUGUUAUCCGGAUUUACUGGGUGUAAAGCGCGAGCAGGCGGGGUCGCAAGUCGUGCGUGAAAGCUCCCGGCUCACCGGGGAGACGACGUACGAAACUGCGGUUCUGGAGACAGGUAGAGGCGUUUGGAAUUUCUGGUGUAGUGGUGAGAUACGUAGAUAUCCGGAGGAACUCCUGUGGUGAAGGCGUCACGCUGGGCCUGGCAUGACGCUAAGACGCGAAAGCAUGUGGAUCGAACGCGAUUAGAAACCCCGGUAGUCCAUGCCGUAAUCGAUGCGUACUCGGUGUUGCGGUGUACAAACUGCAGUGCCGAAGCCAUCGUGAUAAGUACGGCGCCUGGGGAUUACAGCCGCAAGGCUAAUACUCAAAGGAGUUGACGGGGGGCCGCACAAGCAGCGGAGCGUGUGGUUUUAUUUGAGGCUACACGAAGAACCUUACCUGGGCUUGACAUCACGGUGGUAGCGAACCGAAAGGGGAGCGACCUUCGGGAGCGGUGACAGGUGUCUGCAUGGCUGUCGUCAGCUCGUGUUGUGAGAUCUUCGGUUAAGUCCGGUAACGAGCGCAACCCUCGCCGUUAGUUACAAGUGUCUAACGG
Molecule: ribosomal RNA, 983 nt
Filed under: uncultured organism
Description: bacterial SSU rRNA
Rfam family: Bacterial small subunit ribosomal RNA
Source: RNAcentral